GGUCGGUUAGCUCAGUUGGUUAGAGCGUGGUGCUAAUACCCAUUCCCCUGGUAUACCUGGCACGCCAAGGUCGCGGGUUCGACCCCCGUACUGACCA
RNAcentral lists this transfer RNA (97 nucleotides) under Aureobasidium subglaciale EXF-2481. It matches the Rfam family "tRNA". From Rfam's summary of the family: Transfer RNA (tRNA) molecules are approximately 80 nucleotides in length. Their secondary structure includes four short double-helical elements and three loops (D, anti-codon, and T loops). The record is from Rfam by way of RNAcentral. Lineage: Eukaryota; Fungi; Ascomycota; Dothideomycetes; Dothideales; Saccotheciaceae.